This 208-nucleotide long non-coding RNA is filed under the name Elaeis guineensis (African oil palm). RNAcentral's name for it is "long non-coding RNA (EGUI_LNC035915)". Lineage: Eukaryota; Viridiplantae; Streptophyta; Magnoliopsida; Arecales; Arecaceae. The record is from RNAcentral.
CCGAUAGCUACGAUCAAUGCAGAAAAUCCCACCAUCACUGGAGAUUCUGAUGCAUGACAAAGAUCUCAGUCAAGGACUUGUUCGACUUUUCAACGCACCAUCGCUACGAUCCUACCAAAUCAAUCGAAUCUGCAUUAGAACCGACCAAACAAAUAACUAGUUGACAUGUAGCUGGCUCAAACUGCUCGAGAAUCAUUAUUCUACCACA